UGAUCCCAGUCAUUCCAUUUU
Molecule: non-coding RNA, 21 nt
Filed under: Caenorhabditis elegans
Lineage: Eukaryota; Metazoa; Nematoda; Chromadorea; Rhabditida; Rhabditidae
Source: RNAcentral